This 68-nucleotide ribosomal RNA is filed under the name Geosmithia lavendula. The record is from RNAcentral. Lineage: Eukaryota; Fungi; Ascomycota; Sordariomycetes; Hypocreales; Bionectriaceae.
UACGGGGUCCCGUCCGCUCCCCCAGAGUCAAGCCGCUGAGCGGUGGAUUAGUAGUUGGGUCGGUGACG